RNAcentral lists this ribosomal RNA (392 nucleotides) under uncultured bacterium. RNAcentral's name for it is "bacterial SSU rRNA". It matches the Rfam family "Bacterial small subunit ribosomal RNA", at positions 28 to 419 of the family's 1533-position model. The record is from RNAcentral.
GACGAACGCUGGCGGCAUGCUUAACACAUGCAAGUCGAACGGACUGAUUCCUUCGGGAUGAAAGUUAGUGGCGAACGGGUGAGUAAUGUAUGAGCAACCUGCCUCUGUCAACGGGAUAACAGUCGGAAACGACUGCUAAUACGGUAUAUGACCACAGCACCGCAUGGUGCAGCGGUAAAAGAUUUUAUCGGACAGAGAUGGGCUCAUAUCCCAUUAGGUAGUUGGUGAGAUAACAGCCCACCAAGCCGACGAUGGGUAGCCGAGCUGAGAGGCUGAUCGGCCACAUUGGGACUGAAACACGGCCCAGACUCCUACGGGAGGCAGCAGUAGGGAAUUUUUCGUCAAUGGGGGAACCCUGAACGAGCAAUGCCGCGUGAGUGAGGAAGGUCUUC